Molecule: unclassified non-coding RNA, 384 nt
Filed under: soil metagenome
Description: partial contains 5.8S ribosomal RNA, internal transcribed spacer 2, and large subunit ribosomal RNA
Rfam family: 5.8S ribosomal RNA (bases 1-120)
Source: RNAcentral
GAUGAAGAACGUAGCGAAAUGCGAUAAGUAAUGUGAAUUGCAGAAUUCAGUGAAUCAUCGAAUCUUUGAACGCACCUUGCACCCUUUGGCAUUCCGAAGGGUAUGCUCGUUUGAGUGUCAUUGUACUCUCACACUCCCAAUUGCUUUGGAUUGGGAGCGGUGGACUUGGGUGUUGCUGCUUGACUGAGGCUCACCUGAAAUAUGUUAGUGCACCUCUUGAUUGGACAUAGUACGGCGUGAUAAGUGUCUUCGCCGGCUCCUCGCAAAGAGGGUGGCCGAUCGGGAGCUCUGUUGCUUCAAACUGUCUUCGGACAAUCUUCUGGCGACCUGACCUCAAAUCGAGUAGGACUACCCGCUGAACUUAAGCAUAUCAAUAAGCGGGGA